RNAcentral lists this long non-coding RNA (350 nucleotides) under Solanum tuberosum (potato). RNAcentral describes it as "long non-coding RNA (STUB_LNC007254)". Lineage: Eukaryota; Viridiplantae; Streptophyta; Magnoliopsida; Solanales; Solanaceae. The record is from RNAcentral.
AGAGAAAAUGGUCUAAAACCCCCCCAACCUAUACCCGAAAUCCCAACUACACACUCCAACUUUACGGGUGUCCUAUUACCCACCUGAACUUUAUAAUUCUCUAUUUUAUACACACCUAAGUGCUGACCUGUCAUGGGAGGUGUUCUCACCUUCUCUAGGCGCGUUAGAAAGUGAAUUUUGACGAAAAUUUCCGAAAAAAUAGUCAUCUUCCCCAAUUAAUCAAUGAAAGGAUUCAAUCUCAAUUGACCUCCAUUAAUGGCAUUGCUAGUGCUUUCGUUUGUUCUCCCUCUUUUGCUGCUCGACCAUCAGCCACCACUGUCGCCGCCUCCGGCGAAAUCCAAACCACCAAC